AUUGAACGCUGGCGGCAGGCCUAACACAUGCAAGUCGAACGAGUGGCGGACGGGUGAGUAAUGUCUGGGAAACUGGCUGAUGGAGGGGGAUAACUACUGGAAAAGGUAGCUACUACCGCAUACCAUCAGAUGUGCCCAGAUGGGAUUAGCUUGUUGGUGGGGUAACGGCGCCCCAAGGCGACGAUCCCUAGCUGGUCUGAGAGGAUGACCGGCCACACUGGAACUGAGACACGGUCCAGACUCCUACGGGAGGCAGCAGUAGGGAAUAUUGCACAAUGGGCGCAAGCCUGAUCCAGCCACGCCGCGUGUGUGAAGAAGGCCUUCGGGUUGUAAAGUACUUUCGGCGGGGAGGCGUUACCCACAGAAGAAGCAACGGCUAACUCCGUGCCAGCAGCCGCGGUAAUUC
This 406-nucleotide ribosomal RNA is filed under the name uncultured bacterium. RNAcentral describes it as "partial 16S ribosomal RNA". It matches the Rfam family "Bacterial small subunit ribosomal RNA", at positions 30 to 526 of the family's 1533-position model. The record is from RNAcentral.